CCGGUUUUGGUUGUUUGGUUUUUUUUUUUGUUCCUUUGGGAAGAACAAGUACGAGAGUAACUGCUCGUACCUUGACGGUACCUAACCAGAAAGCCACGGCUAACUACGUGCCAGCAGCCGCGGUAAUACGUAGGUGGCAAGCGUUGUCCGGAAUUAUUGGGCGUAAAGCGCGCGCAGGCGGUCCUUUAAGUCUGAUGUGAAAGCCCACGGCUCAACCGUGGAGGGUCAUUGGAAACUGGGGGACUUGAGUGCAGGAGAGAAGAGUGGAAUUCCACGUGUAGCGGUGAAAUGCGUAGAGAUGUGGAGGAACACCAGUGGCGAAGGCGACUCUUUGGCCUGUAACUGACGCUGAGGCGCGAAAGCGUGGGGAGCAAACAGGAUUAGAUACCCUGGUAGUCCACGCCGUAAACGAUGAGUGCUAAGUGUUAGAGGGUUUCCGCCCUUUAGUGCUGCAGUAAACGCAUUAAGCACUCCGCCUGGGGAGUACGGCCGCAAGGCUGAAACUCAAAGGAAUUGACGGAUUG
This 524-nucleotide ribosomal RNA is filed under the name uncultured Bacillus sp. RNAcentral describes it as "bacterial SSU rRNA". It matches the Rfam family "Bacterial small subunit ribosomal RNA", at positions 405 to 920 of the family's 1533-position model. Lineage: Bacteria; Bacillati; Bacillota; Bacilli; Caryophanales; Bacillaceae. The record is from RNAcentral.